UACCCAGCUGGUAUGAUUCUCUUUUUCUUCUUCAAACCUGUCUACGAUGGUCAUGGUGACACAUUACUUCAGGCUGUACCCAGACUCUGCCAAGAGGGGAUUAUUACAUACUGCAGAGCCCAGCACCCAGGAUGAAAAGCCAGAAUACAAGCAGUGACCACCACACCUGACAGACCUGUUGCUGCACAUAUCUGUACUCUCCAAUCAACAAAACCUGAUGCUAAAAACAGAAAAGGGGAGAUGUAGGAGAUUGGUCAGGGUGGUGGGAAAAAUUGUAGAAAGAUGCAAACCUUGGAAGGCUGGAAGGUUUUACAAAAGCUUCAGAAUAGGAUUUGGCUGAAGGCAGCCAGAUUCUCUUAUCCUAUGCCUUAAAGCUUAAGUUAGAUAACAAGGGGAUAUAAAGAAACUGAUCUAGGUAAGUUAGUUUACUUAGGCCUUGGAACCUGGCCUUUAAUCAUCUGCAGGACUGCUCUCCAGGGAGGGCGACUAUGUUAAUUAUCCACAAGUGUGUUAACUCAAAG
Molecule: long non-coding RNA, 521 nt
Filed under: Pan troglodytes (chimpanzee)
Lineage: Eukaryota; Metazoa; Chordata; Mammalia; Primates; Hominidae
Description: long non-coding RNA NONPTRT016673
Source: RNAcentral